AGUGGCAAACGGGUGAGUAACACGUGGGUGACCUACCGUCGAGUGGGGGAUAACGUCCCGAAAGGGACGCUAAUACCGCAUAACAUCCUGCCUUUGAACAGGCGGAGAUCAAAGCUGGGGAUCGUAAGACCUAGCGCUUGAUGAGGGGCCCGCGUCUGAUUAGCUAGUUGGUGAGGUAACGGCCCACCAAGGCGACGAUCAGUAUCCGGCCUGAGAGGGCGGACGGACACACUGGGACUGAGACACGGCCAGACUCCUACGGGAGGCAGCAGUGGGGAAUUGUUCACAAUGGGCGCAAGCCUGAUGACGCAACGCCGCGUGGAGGAUGAAGGUCUUCGGAUUGUAAACUCCUGUUGGUCGGGACGAAAAGCCUCGACCUAAUACGUCGAGGUCUGAACGGUACCGAGUGAGGAACCCCGGCUAACUCUGUGCCAGCAGCCGCGGUAAUACAGAGGGGCCAAGCGUUGUUCAGAAUUACUGGGCCUAAAGGCCGCGUAGCCGACCUCCUAAAUCGAACGUGAAAUCCCCGACCUCAACUCGGGAAAUGCGUCCGAUACUGACAGGCUUGAAUCCGGGAGAGGGAUGCGGGAUUCCAGGUGUACCGGUGACAUGCGUAGAUAUCUGGAAGUACACCGGUGACGUAUCGCCAUCUCG
Molecule: ribosomal RNA, 654 nt
Filed under: uncultivated soil bacterium clone C001
Lineage: Bacteria
Description: bacterial SSU rRNA
Rfam family: Bacterial small subunit ribosomal RNA
Source: RNAcentral